RNAcentral lists this transfer RNA (66 nucleotides) under Ogcodes sp. LRC-2002. RNAcentral describes it as "tRNA-Asn". Lineage: Eukaryota; Metazoa; Arthropoda; Insecta; Diptera; Acroceridae. The record is from RNAcentral.
UUAAAUUGAAGCCAAAAAGAGGCAUAUCAUUGUUAAUGAUAUAAAUGAAAUUAAUUUCCAAUUAAA